Molecule: ribosomal RNA, 170 nt
Filed under: uncultured bacterium
Lineage: Bacteria
Description: partial 16S ribosomal RNA
Rfam family: Bacterial small subunit ribosomal RNA
Source: RNAcentral
AGGCAGCAGUGGGGAAUAUUGCGCAAUGGGCGAAAGCCUGACGCAGCGACGCCGCGUGAGGGAUGAAGGUCUUCGGAUCGUAAACCUCUGUCAGCAGGGAGAACGGUCACUGUGCUAAUCAGCAGUGAAUUGACGGUACCUGCAAAGGAAGCACCGGCUAACUCCGUGCC